GAAAAGGUCCCAAUAAAAUCAAAGCAAAACCCAAGUCCAAAGAACCAGAGAAUGUGCAGGCACGGAAAAUCAGAUUUUCAGGAUGACACCAUAAUUGCUCUGACCAAUAGAAUGUGAUAGAAGACUUUCUGGGCCUUAUUACCUCAAAAC
Long non-coding RNA from Microtus oregoni (creeping vole), 150 nucleotides. RefSeq lists it as uncharacterized. The transcript has 3 exons. Lineage: Eukaryota; Metazoa; Chordata; Mammalia; Rodentia; Cricetidae. The record is from RefSeq and is a predicted model, not a curated record.